AUCGAUCCGGCUCAGCGACAGUUGGAUAGAGACAGACAGAUAGAACUAGCAACAGUGGGAUUGAAACGGACAGACAGAACCAGCAACAGUGGAAUAGAGAAAGACAGACAGAACCAGUGACAGUGGGUUAGAGACAGAGAGAUAGAACCAGCGACAGUGGGAUAGAGACAGACACAUAGAAUGAGCAAAAGUGGAAUAGAGACAGAAAGAUAGAACCAUUGACAGUGGGAUAGAGACAGACAGAUAGAACCAGCGACAGUAGAAUAGAGACAGACAGAGAGAACCAGAGACAGUGGGAUAGAGACUGACAUAGAGAACCAGCGACAGUGGGACAGACAGACAGACAGACAGACAGACAGACAGACAGACAGACAGACAGACAGACAGACAGACAGACAGACAGACAGACAGACAGACAGACAGACAGACAGACAGACAGACAGACAGACAGAACGAGCGAUAGUCGGAUAGAGAAAGACAGAUAGAAGGCACAACAGUUGGAUAGAAACAGACCGAUUGAACUAGCAACAGUGGGAUAGAGACAGACAGACAGAACCAGUGACAGUGGGAUAGAGACAGACAGAUAUAACCAGCGACAGUGGGACAGAGACAGACAGAUAUAACCAGUGACAGUCGGAUAGAGACAGACAGAUAUAACCAGUGACAGUGGGAUAGAGACAGACAAAUAGAACGAGUGACAGUGGGAUAGAGACAGACAAAUAGAACGAGUGACAGUGGGAUAGAGACAGGCAGAUGGAACCAGUGACAGUUGGAUAGAGAGAGACAAAUAGAACGAGCGACAGAGGGAAAGAGACAGACAGAUAGAUCAAGCGACAGUAGGAUAGAGAAAGACAGAUACAACAAGUGACAGUGGGAUAGAGACAGGCAGAUGGAACCAGCGAUAGUGGGAUAGAGACAGACAAAUUGAACGAGUGACAGUGGGAAAGAGACAGACAGAUUGAUAGAUCAAGCGACAGUAGAAUAAAAACAGGCUGUCACGUUCUGACCAGUAAAUGGGUUAUUUGUUAUUGAAGUUUGGUCAGGACGUGGCAGGGGGUGUUUGUUUUAUGUGGUUCGGGGUUUGUUGGGCUAUGUGCUUAUGUAAGAGGGGUGUUUGUUUUAUGUGUUCCGGGGUUUUUUGGUCUAUGUUCUAUGUAAAUGUAUUUCUGUUAGUUCUGGUCUUUCUGUUUCUAUGUUUAGUUAGUGGGGUUGACCUUCAAUUGGAAGCAGCUGCUCCUCGUUGCUUAUAAUUGAAGGUCUUAUUUAAGAGGGGUGUUUUCUCUAUGGGAUUUGUGGGAAGUUGUUUCCUGUUUUAUGUCUGUGCACCUGACAGGACUGUUUUAGUGUCGUUCGUUGUUUUGUAUACGUGAUUUAUUUGUAUUUUUUCCAUCUUUUGAUUUAAUAAAGAAGAUGAGUAUACACGUUCCCACUGCACCUUGGUCCAAUCCUUACGACGCCCAUUACAGAACUACCCACCACCAACGGACCAAGCAGCGGGGUAAGGAGCUGGAGAGGAGCUAUCGGGAGUCGUGGACCUGGGAGGAGAUCCUAGCAGGAGAGGGACCAUGGAGGAAGGCUGGAGAGGACCGGGAGUGUUUUGCUGGAACAAGGUUGGCAUGGAAGCCUGAUAGGCAGCCCCAAAACAAUUUUUUUGGGGGGAGGGGCACACGGGUAGUUUGGCUGGGCCAGGGUUGAGCCCUAAGCCAACUCCCCGUGCUUAUCAGAGGCAGCGUGGUACUGGUCAGGCCCGGUGCUAUGGGCUGACGUGUAUGGCGUCGAGGCCAAGCAUCCAGAGGCCGGUAUGCUCGGUACCAGCGUCCUGCAUUUGCCGGGGGGAAGCGGGCACCCAGCCAGUAAGGGUGGUGCCAGUCCUGCACUCGAGACCGCCAGUGCGCCUUCACGGCCCAGUGUAUCCUGUUCCUGCUCCCCGCACUAGCCCUGAGGUGCGUGUCUCCAGUCUGGCGUCUCCAAAGCCAGCACCACGCACCAGGCCUUCAGUGCGUCAGCCCAGUCCAAGAUGUCCUGUUCCCGCUCCUCGCACUAGCCUUGGGGUGCGUGUCUCCAGUCUGUUACCUCCACUACCAGCCCCACGCACCAGGCCUUCAGUGCGUCAGCCCAGUCCAGCUCGUCCUGCUCCUGCUCCUCGCACUAGCCCUGUGGUGCGUGUCCCUAGUCUGGCACUUCCUAAGCCAGCUCCACGCAUCAGGUCUUCAGUGCGCAGUCCCCGUCCAGAGCUUCCGGCAACAGUGCCUCGUCCAGAGUGUCCGGCAACAGUGCCUCGUCCAGAGUGUCCGGCGACAGUGCCCCGUCCAGAGUGUCCGGCGACAGUGCCCCGUCCAGAGUGUCCGGCAACAGUGCCCCGUCCAGAGCUUCCGGCGACAGUGCCCCGUAGAGAGAUGGCCCACAGUCCGGAACCGAGAGAGACGGCCCACAGUCCGGAACCGAGAGAGACGGCCCACAGUCCGGAACCGAGAGAGAAGGCCCACAGUCCGGAACCGAUAGAGACGGUCCACAGUCCGGAACCGAGAGAGAUGGCCCACAGUCCGGAGCCGAGAGAGACGGCCCACAGUCCGGAGCCGAGAGAGACGGCCCACAGUCCGGAGCCGAGAGAGACGGCCCACAGUCCGGAGCCGAGAGAGACGGCCCACAGUCCGGAGCCGAGAGAGACGGCCCACAGUCCGGAGCCGAGAGAGACGGCCUACAGUCCGGAAUCGGAGCCGAGAGAGACGGCCCACAGUCCGGAGCCGAGAGAGACGGCCUACAGUCCGGAAUUGGCGCAGCGAGAGUCGCCCUACAGUCCGGAAUCGGCGCAGCAAGAGUCGCCCUACAGUCCGCAAUCGGCGCAGCGAGAGUUGCCCUACAGUCCGGAAUCGGCGCAGCCAGAGUCGCCCUACAGUCCGGAAUCGGCGCAGCCAGAGUCGCCCUACAGUCCGGAAUCGGCGCAGCCAGAGUCGCCCUA
Molecule: long non-coding RNA, 2959 nt
Filed under: Salmo salar (Atlantic salmon)
Lineage: Eukaryota; Metazoa; Chordata; Actinopteri; Salmoniformes; Salmonidae
Description: lncRNA (ENSSSAG00000103353.1)
Source: RNAcentral